Molecule: non-coding RNA, 821 nt
Organism: Pelobates cultripes (western spadefoot toad)
Lineage: Eukaryota; Metazoa; Chordata; Amphibia; Anura; Pelobatidae
Source: the annotation of a GenBank genome assembly
CCCACCCAGCAGCCACUGGACCCCCAGGGAGAAAGAGAACCCCCCCCCCAGCAUUCCCAAAGGUAAGGAGGCUGGGGGUUAAAUAGAAAAAAAUGUGUUAAUGAGAGUGAGUGUGUGUGUAUGUCUGUUAGUGUGUGUGUGUCUGUUAGUGUGUAUGUCUGUUAGUGUGAGUGUGUCUGUUAGUGUGUGUGAAUGUUAAUGUGUGUGUGUGUAUCUGUUAGUGUGUGUUUGUUAGUGUGUGUGUGUGUGUGUGUCUGACUGUGUGUGUGUGUCUGUUAGUGUGAGUGUGAGUGUGUUUGUGAGUGUGUGUGUCUGUUAGUGUGUGUGUGUGUCUGCUAGUGUGUGUCUGCUAGUGAGUGAGUGUGUGUCUGUUAGUGUGUGUGUGUGUCUGUCUGACUGUGUGUGUCUGUUAGUGUAUGUGUGUGUGUGUCUGACUCUGUGUGUCUGUUAGUGUGAGUGUGUUUGCCUGUGAGUUUUUGUGUCAGUGAGUGUGUGUGUCUGCAAGUGUGUGUCUGUUGGUGAGUGUGUGUUUGCCUGUGAGUGUGUGUGUGUCUGCUAGUGAGUGAGUGUGUGUCUGUUAGUGUGUGUGUCUGACUGUGUGUGUCUGUUAGUGUGUGUGUCUGACUGUGUGUCUGUUAGUGUGAGUGUGUUUGCCUGUGAGUGUGUGUGUCAGUGAGUGUGUGUGUCAGUGAGUGUGUGUUUGUCUGUUAGUGAGUGUGUCUGUUAGUGUGUGUGUUUCUGUUAGCUUGUGUGUGCUUCUGUUAGCUAGUGUAUGCGUAUCUGUCAGUGAAUGUGUGUUUAUUUAGAAGGUGGGGCGGGGG